AGUUUUACUUAACGAGCCCAAAGAAAUUUUAAUAUUUCAGUUUCGACCCCAUUUGAUCACCGAAAACUAUACCGAACCGUAAUUUUUAUCAGAUAGCUGUCGGAUUUUAUUUUCCACCUUCCGAGUGUCAGAAUGAUAUGAAACUUUAAAUCUAGCCUCAUCAAAAAAAUUCUGGCUUAUCCUCCAGUUUUCAUAAUUUUCUGAGACUGUGCAUUUUCUACUAAUUUAUCUGUCCCGUUUCCAACAGAAAAUUCUAAAUCUUCUGUUUUCAUUCCGAUUUCAGCACAAGUCACUUCUGACGUAUGUUUUAUUUCUCUAAAUCCAAUAAAAAUAGUUUCUCACACUAUUUUUAUUUAUUUUUAUUUUUAUACCAAAAUCUGGUAUGUUACAAUGAUGGUGCCCUAG
Molecule: long non-coding RNA, 405 nt
Filed under: Ananas comosus (pineapple)
Lineage: Eukaryota; Viridiplantae; Streptophyta; Magnoliopsida; Poales; Bromeliaceae
Description: long non-coding RNA (ACOM_LNC037551)
Source: RNAcentral